AGCACCCUUUUAAAAAAAAAUCACAAUAUAAUAAUACACUAAUUAGACUCAAGGGCAGAACUACUUAAAUUAGAAUGCAUGCACCCUCAUUAAAGUCUUUUAUCUCGUUUCUCGAUUUUCGCGUAUUUUCAAUUAUUCGGCGGCCGCCCAAGGCGUCGCGUGUGACGCCGGUCGGUCGCUUUUGCCCAAAAUUUCUCUGUUGGCUUCUCGCAUUUUCCAUCUUGAUAUCGAAAUAAAAUCCCCAAAAUUAUAAAAGUGCAUAAUUAAAUUAUCGCAACCAUUUCCCCUCGAAAAUAUAUUUAUUCAGGAUAAAAUUAUUCAUCCUCCGAAAUAUUCUGGGAUUAAUUAAAUAAUUCUCAACAAUUAAAUUAUCGGUCCAAGGAUUAAUUUAAUUUGACCCAAGAUAAUUGUUAUCUUAGCCCACCUUAUUUCUCCAAUUUAUUUAGCGAGGCCCUAAAAGAAAUAGCCCAAUAUACUUAAUUAUUUCCCCACCCUUAUUUCUCCUCAAUCAACUAACAAGGCCCAAUUAUUACUUAGGCCCAAAGAUUUAUUUAAUUGGCUCACAACCAAAUCACCCAUCUUAUAUCUCCAUUUAAAAAUUUAAAUGGCCCAUCCUUAUUUUUCCACCAUUAAAAGAAAGGGAGCCCAACAAAAUAAAAGGAGGCCCAAACACACUCCCUUCUCCACCAUCGGUAAUCCUCCCUUUCUCAUUCCACAUAACAAAUUGUAAGAACCCCCAAAUUGAAGAAAGCCCUCAAAUCCGUCGAUUUCCCCAAACAAAAUUCUCUCCCCCGUCGACUACACACCGUCGCCGCUACUCCAAAUUGCCGAUUCCCGAAGACCAGAUUUGCCACUGGAGUACCACGCCUCGCUGCUCCGUCCACUGCUCAAACACGACGUCCUUGCGUCGGUUUAAUACCGUCGCUGCUUUCUCCCAAAUCUCACUCCUCCGCCACCGCCGGAAGAGCUGCUGCUGUCGCCGCCGGGUCAGGCUGCUGCUGUCGCCGCCGCCGCUCCUCGUGCUGUUGGAGCAGUUUCCCGGCGCCACUCCAGCCUCGGCCUCCGCCUCCUCGCCGAACUCCCGGAAGGUCGUGAAAUUAGUGACGAAUCGGGGUGUGUGGCUGCCACGACGGUGUGCCGAAACUCAGUAUCCGGAAUUCCGGCAGAUUCGUAUUCUUGAGAUAAGUUGUUAACUUGUGCUUACUAUAGGUGUAGAACUUGGUUUCUCUAUUUUAUGAACUCGAUGAAU
Molecule: long non-coding RNA, 1249 nt
Organism: Salvia splendens (bonfire salvia)
Lineage: Eukaryota; Viridiplantae; Streptophyta; Magnoliopsida; Lamiales; Lamiaceae
Exons: 2
Source: RefSeq, a predicted model, not a curated record